This 64-nucleotide transfer RNA is filed under the name Cucujoidea sp. 6 KM-2017. RNAcentral describes it as "tRNA-Leu". It matches the Rfam family "tRNA". Rfam says of the family: Transfer RNA (tRNA) molecules are approximately 80 nucleotides in length. Lineage: Eukaryota; Metazoa; Arthropoda; Insecta; Coleoptera. The record is from RNAcentral.
AUUAUUUUGGCAGAAUAGUGCGUUAGAUUUAGAAUCUAUUUAUGUAUAAUUAAUACAAAUAAUA